Molecule: ribosomal RNA, 254 nt
Filed under: uncultured bacterium
Lineage: Bacteria
Description: partial 16S ribosomal RNA
Rfam family: Bacterial small subunit ribosomal RNA
Source: RNAcentral
UACGAAGGGGGCUAGCGUUGCUCGGAAUCACUGGGCGUAAAGCGCACGUAGGCGGGUUGCUAAGUCAGGGGUGAAAUCCUGGAGCUCAACUCCAGAACUGCCCUUGAUACUGGCGGCCUUGAGUCCGGGAGAGGUGAGUGGAACUGCGAGUGUAGAGGUGAAAUUCGUAGAUAUUCGCAAGAACACCAGUGGCGAAGGCGGCUCACUGGCCCGGUUACUGACGCUGAGGUGCGAAAGCGUGGGGAGCAAACAGG